UACGGGAGGCAGCAGUGGGGAAUAUUGCACAAUGGGCGCAAGCCUGAUGCAGCCAUGCCGCGUGUAUGAAGAAGGCCUUCGGGUUGUAAAGUACUUUCAGUCGUGAGGAAGGUGUUAAGGUUAAUAACCUUAGCAAUUGACGUUAGCGACAGAAGAAGCACCGGCUAACUCCGUGCCAGCAGCCGCGGUAAUACGGAGGGUGCGAGCGUUAAUCGGAAUUACUGGGCGUAAAGGGCACGCAGGCGGUUAAUUAAGUUGGAUGUGAAAUCCCCCGGGCUUAACCUGGGAAUGGCAUUCAAGACUGGUUAGCUAGAGUCUUGUAGAGGGGGUAGAAUUCCAUGUGUAGCGGUGAAAUGCGUAGAGAUGUGGAGGAAUACCGGGUGGCGAAGGCGGCCCCUGGACAAAGACUGACGCUCAUGUGCGAAAGCGUGGGGAGCAAACAGGAUUAGAUACC
RNAcentral lists this ribosomal RNA (454 nucleotides) under uncultured bacterium. Its description in RNAcentral is "bacterial SSU rRNA". It matches the Rfam family "Bacterial small subunit ribosomal RNA", at positions 340 to 786 of the family's 1533-position model. The record is from RNAcentral.